Molecule: ribosomal RNA, 510 nt
Filed under: uncultured bacterium
Lineage: Bacteria
Description: bacterial SSU rRNA
Rfam family: Bacterial small subunit ribosomal RNA
Source: RNAcentral
UAGUCCACGCUGUAAACGAUGUCUACUUGGAGGUUGUUGUCUUGAAUGAUGGCUUUCGGAGCUAACGCGUUAAGUAGACCGCCUGGGGAGUACGGCCGCAAGGUUAAACUCAAAUGAAUUGACGGGGGCCCGCACAAGCGGUGGAGCAUGUGGUUUAAUUCGAUGCAACGCGAAGAACCUUACCACACUUUGACAUGUAAAUCGUCGCUCUGUGAAGGCAGGAGCUUCAGUUCGGCUGGAUUUAACACAGGUGUUGCAUGGCUGUCGUCAGCUCGUGCCGUGAGGUGUUGGGUUAAGUCCCGCAACGAGCGCAACCCUUGUCUUUAGUUGCCUAUCAUUAAGUUGGGCACUUUAAAGAGACUGCCGGUGACAAACCGGAGGAAGGUAAGGAUGACGUCAGGUCAGCAUGUCCCUUAUGCUCUGGGCUACACACGUGCUACAAUGGCCGUGACAAAGAGUUGCUACUUUGUGAAAACAAGCUAAUACUCAUAAACGCGGCCUCAGUUCGGA